UACAGAGGUCCCAAGCGUUGUUUGGAUUCAUUGGGCGUAAAGGGUGCGUAGGCGGCGCGGUAAGUCGGGUGUGAAAUCUCGGGGCUUAACUCCGAAACUGCAUUCGAUACUGCCGUGCUUGAGGACUGGAGAGGAGACUGGAAUUUACGGUGUAGCGGUGAAAUGCGUAGAUAUCGUAAGGAAGACCAGUGGCGAAGGCGGGUCUCUGGACAGUUCCUGACACUGAGGCACGAAGGCCAGGGGAGCAAACGGG
Molecule: ribosomal RNA, 253 nt
Filed under: uncultured bacterium
Lineage: Bacteria
Description: partial 16S ribosomal RNA
Rfam family: Bacterial small subunit ribosomal RNA
Source: RNAcentral